AAUAGAUACCCGGGUAGUCCACGCCGUAAACGGUGGGCACUAGGUGUGGGCGACAUUCCACGUCGUCCGUGCCGCAGCUAACGCAUUAAGUGCCCCGCCUGGGGAGUACGGCCGCAAGGCUAAAACUCAAAGGAAUUGACGGGGGGCCCGCACAAGCAGCGGAGCGUGUGGUUUAAUUCGACGCAACACGAAGAACCUUACCCAGAUUUGACAUGGAACUGCAAGUCGCGGAAACGCGGCUGCCUUCGAGGGUGUUCCACCGGUGCUGCAUGGCUGUCGUCAGCUCGUGUCGUGAGAUGUUGGGUUAAGUCCCGCAACGAGCGCAACCCUUGCCCGAUGUUACACGUGUCAUCGGGGACUGCCGUGGUCUGACCACGGAGGAAGGUGGGGAUGAUGUCAAGUCCGCAUGGCCCUUACGUCUGGGGCAACACACACGCUACAAUGGUCGGAGGAAAGCGACGCCACCUGGCAACAGGGCGCAAAUCGCCAAGCCCGAUCUCAGUGCAGAUUGGGGGCUGCAACUCGCCCCC
RNAcentral lists this ribosomal RNA (530 nucleotides) under uncultured bacterium. Its description in RNAcentral is "bacterial SSU rRNA". It matches the Rfam family "Bacterial small subunit ribosomal RNA", at positions 777 to 1319 of the family's 1533-position model. The record is from RNAcentral.